This 497-nucleotide ribosomal RNA is filed under the name uncultured bacterium. RNAcentral describes it as "partial 16S ribosomal RNA". It matches the Rfam family "Bacterial small subunit ribosomal RNA", at positions 28 to 507 of the family's 1533-position model. The record is from RNAcentral.
GAUGAACGCUGGCGGCGUGCCUAAUACAUGCAAGUCGAGCGAACAGACGAGGAGCUUGCUCCUUUGACGUUAGCGGCGGACGGGUGAGUAACACGUGGGUAACCUAACUAUAAGACUGGGAUAACUUCGGGAAACCGGAGCUAAUACCGGAUAAUAUUUCGAACCGCAUGGUUCGAUAGUGAAAGAUGGCUCUGCUAUCACUUAUAGAUGGACCUGCGCCGUAUUAGCUAGUUGGUAAGGUAACGGCUUACCAAGGCAACGAUACGUAGCCGACCUGAGAGGGUGAUCGGCCACACUGGAACUGAGACACGGUCCAGACUCCUACGGGAGGCAGCAGUAGGGAAUCUUCCGCAAUGGGCGAAAGCCUGACGGAGCAACGCCGCGUGAGUGAUGAAGGUCUUCGGAUCGUAAAACUCUGUUAUUAGGGAAGAACAAACGUGUAAGUAACUGUGCACGUCUUGACGGUACCUAAUCAGAAAGCCACGGCUAACUACGUG